UAGAGGAUUGCAGACACUGUCAUGACUCCUGCCAGCACAUUCAUUUUUCUUCGUUUGGGACCUCAGGGAUUGAUUUUGGAAGGUUGGUGGGAGCAAGGCAAGAAAAGAAAGAACCCGAGGCUCAGAAGAGCAGAGUCAUCCAUCAAGACCACAGAACAGCUGGAAGAAUUUUUCAAAUGGUUUUUGCGAGAAAGUUCAAACCCUGGAAUGACUAAGUCUCUGGAAGAAUUUGGACUUUGUGAGGGGAAUUUGUUGGUAUUUGGUAUGAAUCACCCGGUCACUGAUUUAUGCAGUGAGAAGAUCUUUUGGAAAGCUUUUAGGUCAACCCCCCCAGUUCACACAUGGGAAACUGAGGCUCGGGGAGGUGAGGGGCCAAGGCCACACAGCAUGUCAAUGGAAGAGAGGAGACUAGAAUGUAGGUCUGACUCCCUGGAACCAGCUUCGAGUUUGCGAGAAGCUCUCAUGCACACAGUCUACAUU
Long non-coding RNA from Canis lupus familiaris (dog), 480 nucleotides. RefSeq lists it as uncharacterized. Lineage: Eukaryota; Metazoa; Chordata; Mammalia; Carnivora; Canidae. The transcript has 3 exons. The record is from RefSeq and is a predicted model, not a curated record.